CGGAGGUGCAAGCGUUAAUCGGAAUUACUGGCGUAAGCGCACGCAGGCGGUCUGUUAAGUCAGAUGUGAAAUCCCCGGGCUUAACCUGGGAACUGCAUUUGAAACUGGCAGGCUUGAGUCUUGUAGAGGGGUAGAAUUCCAGGUGUAGCGGUGAAAUGCGUAGAGAUCUGGAGGAAUACCGGUGGCGAAGGCGGCCCCUGGACAAAGACUGACGCUCAGGUGCGAAAGCGUGGGAGCAAACAGGAUU
RNAcentral lists this ribosomal RNA (247 nucleotides) under uncultured bacterium. Its description in RNAcentral is "partial 16S ribosomal RNA". It matches the Rfam family "Bacterial small subunit ribosomal RNA", at positions 527 to 779 of the family's 1533-position model. The record is from RNAcentral.